RNAcentral lists this ribosomal RNA (691 nucleotides) under uncultured bacterium. Its description in RNAcentral is "bacterial SSU rRNA". It matches the Rfam family "Bacterial small subunit ribosomal RNA", at positions 33 to 745 of the family's 1533-position model. The record is from RNAcentral.
ACGCUGGCGGCGUGCUAACACAUGCAAGUCGAACGAUGAUAGAGAGCUUGCUUUCUUGAUUAGUGGCGCACGGGUGAGUAAUGCAUAGAUAAUGUGCCCCUUAGUUCGGGAUAGCCACUGGAAACGGUGAUUAAUACCGGAUACUCCUUCUUGUUAUAAGACAAGUCGGGAAAGUUUUUCGCUAAGGGAUCAGUCUAUGUUCCAUCAGCUUGUUGGUGAGGUAAUGGCUCACCAAGGCUAUGACGGAUAUCUGGUUUGAGAGGAUGAUCAGACACACUGGAACUGAGACACGGUCCAGACUCCUACGGGGGGCAGCAGUGAGGAAUAUUGCACAAUGGAGGAAACUCUGAUGCAGCAACGCCGCGUGGAGGAUGACGCAUUUCGGUGUGUAAACUCCUUUUAUUAGGGAAGAUAAUGACGGUACCUAAUGAAUAAGCACCGGCUAACUCCGUGCCAGCAGCCGCGGUAAUACGGAGGGUGCAAGCGUUACUCGGAAUCACUGGGCGUAAAGGGUGCGUAGGCUGGCUUUUAAGUCAGAUGUGAAAUCCAAUGGCUCAACCAUUGAACUGCAUUUGAAACUGAAAGCCUAGAGUUCAGAAGGGGCAGAUGGAAUUAGUGGUGUAGGGGUAAAAUCCGUAGAUAUCACUAGGAAUAUCAAAAGCGAAGGCGAUCUGCUGGGAUGAUACUGACG